RNAcentral lists this long non-coding RNA (249 nucleotides) under Mytilus galloprovincialis (Mediterranean mussel). Lineage: Eukaryota; Metazoa; Mollusca; Bivalvia; Mytilida; Mytilidae. The record is from RNAcentral.
GUAGGAUGAAAUUUGAAAAAAAUAGGCAGGACAGGAGUUUUGAGUAAAAAAAAAAGUCAGGAUGAGACGAGGCCUCAUGAGACUCGUGCAAAAAAAAAAGGCAGGACAACAAUUUAGGUAAAAAAAAGUCCGGAUAAACUAAAAAAAAAAAAAAAAAGGCAGGACCGAACAGAGUGAAAAAUAAAAAGGCAGGACAGAGAUUACAGCUAAAAAAAAAUGCAGGACAAAAUUUUUCAUUCUAGCCCCCCA